Molecule: ribosomal RNA, 502 nt
Filed under: uncultured bacterium
Lineage: Bacteria
Description: partial 16S ribosomal RNA
Rfam family: Bacterial small subunit ribosomal RNA
Source: RNAcentral
AUUGAACGCUGGCGGCAUGCCUUACACAUGCAAGUCGAACGGCAGCACGGGUGCUUGCACCUGGUGGCGAGUGGCGAACGGGUGAGUAAUACAUCGGAACGUACCUUAUCGUGGGGGAUAACGCAGCGAAAGCUGUGCUAAUACCGCAUACGCCCUGAGGGGGAAAGCGGGGGCCCGUAAGGCCUCCCGCGAUUGGAGCGCCCGAUGUCAGAGUAGGUAGUUGGUGGGGUAAAGGCUCACCAAGCCGACGAUCUGUAGCUGGUCUGAGAGGACGACCAGCCACAAUGGGACUGAGACACAGCCCAGACUCCUACGGGAGGCAGCAGUGGGGAAUUUUGGACAAUGGGGGCAACCCUGAUCCAGCAAUGCCGCGUGCAGGAAGAAGGCCUUCGGGUUGUAAACUGCUUUUGUACGGAACGAAACGGCUCUGGUUAAUACCCGGGGCUAAUGACGGUACCGUAAGAAUAAGCACCGGCUAACUACGUGCCAGCAGCCGCCGUAA